This 1362-nucleotide ribosomal RNA is filed under the name uncultured bacterium. RNAcentral describes it as "16S ribosomal RNA". It matches the Rfam family "Bacterial small subunit ribosomal RNA", at positions 28 to 1386 of the family's 1533-position model. The record is from RNAcentral.
GAUGAACGCUAGCGACAGGCUUAACACAUGCAAGUCGAGGGGCAGCACGAUGUAGCAAUACAUUGGUGGCGACCGGCGCACGGGUGAGUAACGCGUAUGCAACCUACCUAUCAGAGGGGAAUAACCCGGCGAAAGUCGGACUAAUACCGCAUAAAACAGGGGUUCCACAUGGAAAUAUUUGUUAAAGAAUUAUCGCUGAUAGAUGGGCAUGCGUUCCAUUAGAUAGUUGGUGAGGUAACGGCUCACCAAGUCCACGAUGGAUAGGGGUUCUGAGAGGAAGGUCCCCCACACUGGUACUGAGACACGGACCAGACUCCUACGGGAGGCAGCAGUGAGGAAUAUUGGUCAAUGGGCGAGAGCCUGAACCAGCCAAGUCGCGUGAAGGAUGAAGGAUCUAUGGUUUGUAAACUUCUUUUAUAUGGGAAUAAAGUGAGGAACGUGUUCCUUUUUGUAUGUACCAUAUGAAUAAGCAUCGGCUAACUCCGUGCCAGCAGCCGCGGUAAUACGGAGGAUGCGAGCGUUAUCCGGAUUUAUUGGGUUUAAAGGGUGCGUAGGUGGCUAAUUAAGUCAGCGGUGAAAGUUUGUGGCUCAACCAUAAAAUUGCCGUUGAAACUGGUUAGCUUGAGUAUAUUUGAGGUAGGCGGAAUGCGUGGUGUAGCGGUGAAAUGCAUAGAUAUCACGCAGAACUCCGAUUGCGAAGGCAGCUUACUAAACUAUAACUGACACUGAAGCACGAAAGCGUGGGGAUCAAACAGGAUUAGAUACCCUGGUAGUCCACGCAGUAAACGAUGAUUACUAGCUGUUUGCGAUACACAGUAAGCGGCUCAGCGAAAGCGUUAAGUAAUCCACCUGGGGAGUACGCCGGCAACGGUGAAACUCAAAGGAAAAGACGGGGGCCCGCACAAGCGGAGGAACAUGUGGUUUAAUUCGAUGAUACGCGAGGAACCUUACCCGGGUUUGAACGCAUUCGGACCGGAGUGGAAACACUUCUUCUAGUAAUAGCCGUUUGCGAGGUGCUGCAUGGUUGUCGUCAGCUCGUGCCGUGAGGUGUCGGCUUAAGUGCCAUAACGAGCGCAACCCUUAUCACUAGUUACUAACAGGUCAUGCUGAGGACUCUAGUGAGACUGCCAGCGUAAGCUGUGAGGAAGGUGGGGAGGACGUCAAAUCAGCACGGCCCUUACAUCCGGGGCGACACACGUGUUACAAUGGUGGGGACAAAGGGCAGCUACCGUGUGAGCGGAUGCAAAUCUCCAAACCCCAUCUCAGUUCGGAUCGAAGUCUGCAACCCGACUUCGUGAAGCUGGAUUCGCUAGUAAUCGCGCAUCAGCCAUGGCGCGGUGAAUAAGAUCCCGGGCCUUGCAC